RNAcentral lists this unclassified non-coding RNA (345 nucleotides) under fungal sp. RNAcentral's name for it is "partial internal transcribed spacer region". The stretch from base 1 to 46 matches the Rfam family "Eukaryotic small subunit ribosomal RNA", at positions 1786 to 1831 of the family's 1831-position model. The record is from RNAcentral. Lineage: Eukaryota; Fungi.
AAGUCGUAACAAGGUUUCCGUAGGUGAACCUGCGGAAGGAUCAUUAACACGUAUCCAAACGUUAAAACCCCCCCCGUGAACUUUCAAUCCUGCUCUUGUAACCCGCGUAGUUCCGCAAUCUCUGGUAAAUCAUAGCCCGGAAAGUUGUUUUGAUUCAGAGACCUCUGCCUACGUGAGAAAAAUGGAACAGUUACUUCCACGAUUCCUGUAGACCGUACACUCGGGCAGGAGCUAUGCCAAAGGGUCCCCAUGCCCCCUUACAACCCCACAGUUUAAUGUAAAGCUCAAUGUAAUACAUUGGGUAAAAAAACCGAACAACUGUUAACAAUGGAUAUCUUGGUUCUC